Molecule: unclassified non-coding RNA, 223 nt
Filed under: Melitaea cinxia (Glanville fritillary)
Lineage: Eukaryota; Metazoa; Arthropoda; Insecta; Lepidoptera; Nymphalidae
Description: misc RNA ENSMCXG00005009118.1
Source: RNAcentral
AUUUAAAAGAAGAGAACUUGUGCGAAAUAAUUAAAAAUAAGUUAACCAGAGAAUUCUGUAAAUAUAAGAAAUAAGACUUAGCAAUAUUAUGUUUUCUCAAUAUAAUAGUAUAUUAAGCAUAACAUAAGCAAUUAAGACAUGUAAGUAGGAAUAAUAGUAAGAAAUUAAAAUAGCUUCUAUAUGUAAAAUUAGUUAAAUUUCUCCUAAGAAGUAAAAAUAGUAU